UCACAAGGAAGUCAAUUUCAGGAUGAUAUCAUAACAAAAAAUCUGGCUAGUGGCUACGUAAUACGUCCAUCCUGAGGGACUUUCCCGCGAGAACUUGAGAGGCAAAUCAAUCAUACGCAGUUUGUCGCAACUGGCAACAGCUGAAAAGUUCAAGUAAGUUGAUUCUGUUGUGGAAUUUUCAAAUGUAUUAUAGCCUAAUAAUGGAUACGAGUGAAGACGAAAACUUGUUGUUAGAAAACAACACUGAAGAUCCAGAACCACGCAGCAAGAAAAAGAAUCAUCAAAACAGUUCCGCGUUGCGGCAUGACAAUAAAUUUUUGUCGGUGUUAACAUCUCAACGCUUCGAAAGAUUUAUGGCAGUUGUGCUUUUCGUUAUCCUUCUUGUGCUUUUCGUUAUCCUUGUCGUGCUUUUGCACCAAUUACAAUCACUACGAAAUGAUAACAUAUGCUUAAACAAAGAAGUCGAAAUUCUUAAAGCGGAGAGCAACAAAGCAACAAGUUCAAAUAUGAGUCUUGCCCUUCAUCAAAAUCAAUUUGAACUGAAAACGCUUUCAAAGAAUUUAGGUAUAGAACACAUUAACCAGGAGUUGAAAGCUCUCCAUGUCCAAAUUUCGAACCUAAGCAAGAUUGUUUUGAAAAGCGGUAAGAUAAGUACUCCUUCCUUGAAUAAGGAAAAAUCAAAUAAAACCAAAAUGAAUGCCAUUCAUUUGCAAAACAGCAUGUUAAAGGGGAAGUCAGAGCUCGGAACAACUUAGGCUCAAAUGAAAGAGUAUUGUAUUAUUACUUUGCAUACCAAGUCUAAAAUCUUUACGUUAAAUACAACUCGAGAAAUAAAGCAAUGAAACUGCGUUAUUUUGCAAAUAUAAAUGUACAUCCGAGCGAACCUGCGAUCAAGCAGCGGAAUUACAUCGUUACGUCACUGCGCGACUCUGUAAUCGAGCAAUUUCGAAGAGAAUAGAAUAGAUAUUUUGUCUGUCAAUUUUAAAGUCUUCUAGGUUAAUGGCGCAUUUAAACGAUUCUUCGAGCGAUAUUUUGACCUGUUCUAACUUAAAAGAUGGUAAAGAAAUUUCAAAGAUAAAUGGAGGGUUUAAAUAUUAUACUUUUGAACUGGUUAAUGAAACGGGGACAUAUUUUUCUGACAUGCUAAGACGAAAGCAGAAAAUAUGUGUAUUGAAGAUUCUAAUUCAGAGUUUUAACGACACCACAAUUUUCGAGGUAAAUCGUAAAACCUUGCUGUUGAUGCCAUCUUCAA
Molecule: long non-coding RNA, 1252 nt
Organism: Xenia sp. Carnegie-2017
Lineage: Eukaryota; Metazoa; Cnidaria; Anthozoa; Malacalcyonacea; Xeniidae
Exons: 3
Source: RefSeq, a predicted model, not a curated record